Molecule: ribosomal RNA, 259 nt
Filed under: uncultured bacterium
Lineage: Bacteria
Description: partial 16S ribosomal RNA
Rfam family: Bacterial small subunit ribosomal RNA
Source: RNAcentral
GUCCACGCCCUAAACGAUGAGUGCUAGCCGUCGGGCCAUUAGGUUCGGUGGCGUAGCUAACGCGUUAAGCACUCCGCCUGGGGAGUACGGCCGCAAGGUUAAAACUCAAAGAAAUUGACGGGGACCCGCACAAGCGGUGGAACAUGUGGUUUAAUUCGAGGCAACGCGAAGAACCUUACCAGGCCUUGACAUGCUUGUCGCGAGCUCCAGAGACGGAGCUCUUCAGUUCGGCUGGACAAUGCACAGGUGCUGCAUGGCU